GAAUAGAAACGCCGACUAGUGGCGUACUGGUCAGCACAGUUAUCAAAUUUCGUGGAAUUACAUUAUUUCUUGAAAAAGGUCCAGGUGUGUUUGUAUUCAUCUUUUUUUGUAAACAGAAUGUCGCCGAAUAUCGGCAAAAUUAUAUAUGUACACUUGUUUGUACGUAUGCUCUUUUUACGCGUGAAACGCGUGCUUACAGUUAUUUGUGAAAGAACCCAUUACAGAAUUUCUGAGAUUCUGGAAAUGUUAUUACCGCUUAUUACAAACGUAUUUACAUAUGUACAUUUUAUAUACAUAUUUAAAGUUAAGACAUAUUUUAUAAUUUAUAAAGCAAAUAGGGCAGGAAUGCGUUUCUGAAUCGCAAAAAGUACACACGCACACAAAUAUGUAUAUACACACACACACAAUGUUUUACCGCUAUGUAUGAACAUUAUGUAUUACCAUUCCGGCUCUUUUAACAUAGUUGAGACGCCAGCUAAUAAUAUGUCUGCAAAAGGAAACAUCGAGCAGCUAAAAUACAUGAACGCCGAUGACAUUAGGUCUGCGCAUAGAGUUUAGACAAAAACUCUUCAGAUGGAAGGAGUCUGAGGAACCGCCGCAGCCGCAUAAUGAAAAAGAAGAAUAGAUGCCCAGGACUUCAUAACCGCCACAUUGCUGAAUGCUGUUUUGCCCUCAUCAGCCCGCUUCAAGAAUGAAGAUGGAAAAUGUACAAGGAAGGCUACAAUACUGGACGCGCAGGAGAGUUUUGUGCUGAGACUAGUAACUAUUAAUGACUUAGAUAUUCAAUUGGACCGAG
Non-coding RNA from Drosophila suzukii, 796 nucleotides. The record is from RefSeq and is a predicted model, not a curated record. Lineage: Eukaryota; Metazoa; Arthropoda; Insecta; Diptera; Drosophilidae.